This 424-nucleotide ribosomal RNA is filed under the name uncultured bacterium. Its description in RNAcentral is "bacterial SSU rRNA". It matches the Rfam family "Bacterial small subunit ribosomal RNA", at positions 355 to 796 of the family's 1533-position model. The record is from RNAcentral.
UAACGAAUCUUCCGCAAUGCACGAAAGUGUGACGGAGCGACGCCGCGUGUGGGACGAAGCCCUUCGGGGUGUAAACCACUGUCAGAGGAUAGAAAGUUCUGAUCAUCCUCAGAGGAAGGCACGGCUAACUCUGUGCCAGCAGCCGCGGUAAGACAGAGGUGCCAAGCGUUAGGCGGAAUCACUGGGCUUAAAGCGUGUGUAGGUGGAUCUGUAAGUACCUUGUGAAAUCCCACGGCUUAACCGUGGAACUGCUCGGUAUACUGCGGAUCUUGAGCCAACUAGGGGUUACCGGAACAAAUGGUGGAGCGGUGAAAUGCGUAGAUAUCAUUUGGAACGCCAAUGGUGAAAACAGGUAACUGGGGUUGUGCUGACACUGAGACACGAAAGCCAGGGGAGCAAACGGGAUUAGAUACCCCCGUAGUCC